RNAcentral lists this long non-coding RNA (320 nucleotides) under Mytilus galloprovincialis (Mediterranean mussel). Lineage: Eukaryota; Metazoa; Mollusca; Bivalvia; Mytilida; Mytilidae. The record is from RNAcentral.
UUUGAUGAAAAUUAAGAGUUAAAGACUUUGAAAAUUGUUGAAAAUCACAGUUAUACAGAUUAUAUUUCUACACGCCUUAAGAUUUUGCCUCCAGAUUUUUGAUAUGCGAGACUACCAUCAUGUUUGAGUCCACAUAUGAUGUUGAAAUUGCAGAUUUUUCAACUUUUUAAGACAGGGCCAUUCAUGAAGUUCAGACAUAUCUAGUCAAUUGUUAAGUUUUCUACAUAAGUCAGUUUGAUAAGAACUACAUGCGAUAGAUCAAUGAUAUUUUGUAUGAAGAUGCAAUACUAUUAUAACAUAUCAAUUUGAUGACUAUUUUG